This 73-nucleotide transfer RNA is filed under the name Candidatus Dojkabacteria bacterium. RNAcentral describes it as "tRNA-Lys". It matches the Rfam family "tRNA". Rfam says of the family: Transfer RNA (tRNA) molecules are approximately 80 nucleotides in length. The record is from RNAcentral.
GGGCCCGUAGCUCAACUGGCAGAGCAAGCGGCUCUUAACCGCUAGGUUCAGGGUUCGACUCCCUGCGGGCUCA